This 1307-nucleotide long non-coding RNA is filed under the name Marmota monax (woodchuck). Lineage: Eukaryota; Metazoa; Chordata; Mammalia; Rodentia; Sciuridae. The record is from RNAcentral.
GGCUCCUUUGGAUCCCUGCUUUCCUCUCUGGUAUAACAACUGUUACCAGUUUCUCAUAUUUACUGAGCAUCAAUUAGGUGUUAAAUGCUUGGUCUACAUCAGUGAACAAAACACAGACCAUUACAACCUUUGUAGAGUUUAUAUCCAAUUAGGAGAAAACAGACAAUAAGCCAUAAACAUGGCACUUAAGCACAUUGAAUAACUGAACAUUUGAAGGUGAUGAGCAUUCUGGAGAAGAGAAGAGUAGGGUAAGAGGAAUUCUAGAGGAUGGUGGGCUAGUUUUAAUUACAGUGGCCAGGUACAGGCCUCACUGGGAAGGUAAGACUUGAGCAAAAUCUUGAAAGAGGUGAAAAGUGAGCCCUGUGGACAUUCAGGAGGAGAACUUUCCUAACAGCCGUGGCAGAGCCAAAAUAGGCCAUGCUUAGGGUAUUCUGGCCACAGCAAGGUAGUCAGGGGCUGCAGAGUGAGGGGGAGAGACAAGUCCAAGGGUCAUGACAAGGUGUCAUUGGGCAAAUUAGAAGUGGUAAGGCCUUUAGAUCACAUAUGAACUAUUUCAGAGAUAGCCUGUGCAUAUAUGAGCUUAUUUGUACACAUCUUUGCAAUUUAUAACUACACCAAUGAUCUCAGCCUAGACCUCUGUUUUGUCCUUCCUUUUUUUUUAAUUACUGCAUAUACCUCAAACUCAUUUAUACGUGAAUUUAAUAUACAUCCAACUAUACAAUCAUUCUUUUGACAGCUCUACAGUAUUCCAGUGUGUGUGUAUAUCUCAUUUAACCAGUCCCUUGUAUCAGAUAAUCUCAAACAAAAAUGUUGCUCUAAAAAAUUCCUUGUUUGGGGAUAGGGAUGUAGCUCAGUGGUGGAGUGCUUACCUUACAUGCUUGAGGUCUCAGGUUUGAUUCCCUAGCACCACAAAGAAAAAUCCUCAGGGAAGAGGAUUUAUGUAGCUCAGUGUUAGAGUGCUUGCCACACAUGCAUGAGGCACUGGGUUCGAUCCUCAGCACCACAUAAAAAUAGAUAAAGAUAUUGUAUUUUAAAAAAAAAAGAGGAGUUUAAAAACAAAAAUACUUGUUCAUCUAUUUAGCCUGUGCAUCUCUAGCUCUAGUUGAAGUCCCUGGAAAUGGAAUUAGGUUGAGCAUAAGAUUUUGUACUUUAGAUAGAUAUCAGCCAGUACCCUCCACCCUGAUUACAACACUUAUGUUCAUCCAUCACUGCAUGAGGGUGUCUCUUUUUCUAUGCUCACUAAUAGAGUAUGUUAUCAAAUUUUUGUUUUUAAUUUUAUGUAUUUUUAAAAUAUUUUUUAGUUAUAC